Molecule: ribosomal RNA, 253 nt
Filed under: uncultured bacterium
Lineage: Bacteria
Description: partial 16S ribosomal RNA
Rfam family: Bacterial small subunit ribosomal RNA
Source: RNAcentral
UACGUAGGGUGCAAGCGUUGUCCGGAAUUAUUGGGCGUAAAGAGCUCGUAGGCGGUCUGUCGCGUCUGCUGUGAAAAUCCAGGGCUCAACCCUGGACCUGCAGUGGGUACGGGCAGACUAGAGUGCGGUAGGGGAGAUCGGAAUUCCUGGUGUAGCGGUGAAAUGCGCAGAUAUCAGGAGGAACACCGGUGGUGAAGGCGGAUCUCUGGGCCGUAACUGACGCUGAGGAGCGAAAGCAUGGGGAGCGAACAGG